GGUAAAAACAAGAAUAAUCUCGAACAUUUUAAUAUUUAAGGCAACUUAAAAUACAACUAAUAAUUAUUUAUAAUAACAUUGUUAUCUAAUUAUUUUAUCUGUAAUAUAUUUUAAUUAUAAAUGAUAAAACCAAAUUAUUGUGAUAGUGCAGUAAGUGUUUCUUUUUUGUGGUCAGGAUAUUUUUUGCGGUAAUCACUAACAACUUGUAGAAGGUAUUGUUUUUGAGAUUCGUUUUUGGUAAUUUUGUCAUUAUAGUCCUCUAUAAGUUUUACUCCUCUUUCUGCUACAUCGUUUAUUACUGGAAUAUUUUUUUAUAACUAACAAAGUUUUAGAAUAGUCUUCAUUAUUUUCCCAACUAAUUGGAUCUUCA
Cinara cedri is the source of this 370-nucleotide non-coding RNA. NCBI's taxonomy places the organism in Eukaryota, Metazoa, Arthropoda, Insecta, Hemiptera, Aphididae. The record is from the annotation of a GenBank genome assembly.